GAUACCCUAUUAUUUAAAAUGUAAUUUUUUAUCCUAGAUUAUUAUUAGUUAUGGUCUUUAAAAUUAAAAAAUUUGGCGGUAUUUUAGUCUGUUCAGAGGAACCUGUUUCUUAAUUGAUAGUCCACGAUAAUUUUUACUUUAACUUUAAAUUUGUAUAUCGUCGUUUAUAAAAAUUUUAGUAGAAUAAAAAUUUUUGGGUUGUGAGAAGUUUAAUUUAUUUCAGAUCAAGGUGUAGUUUAUGUUAAAGUUGGAAUGGGUUACAUUGUAUUUAUUUUUGGAAUUAAGAAUUAGAAUUUUAAUGAAAUUGGAUUUGAUAGUAAAAUCUUUAUUUUUGGGAUUUGAUUUAGCUCUAAAAUAUGCACACAUCGCC
This 370-nucleotide ribosomal RNA is filed under the name Uloma freyi. RNAcentral describes it as "partial 12S ribosomal RNA". Lineage: Eukaryota; Metazoa; Arthropoda; Insecta; Coleoptera; Tenebrionidae. The record is from RNAcentral.